RNAcentral lists this unclassified non-coding RNA (257 nucleotides) under uncultured fungus. Its description in RNAcentral is "sequence contains ITS1". Lineage: Eukaryota; Fungi. The record is from RNAcentral.
GUAUAAGUUUUAUAGGUCAAAAGACCCACAAGUUACAUUCUAGACUUUUUAUAGUAGAUGAGACAUAGACUGUGAAAUCGAAAGACAGCUAGGCGCAAGUCCUUCAAUCCAACGGAAAAACCAUUGAGAGUUAUCACAGUCUACAAAAGUUCACAGGUGGUAAAGAUGAAUUUGAAGUGCGUGCACAUGCUCCGAAAAGCCAGCUACAACACUCCAGUUAUUCAGUAAUGAUCCUUCCGCAGGUUCACCUACGGAAA